This 6137-nucleotide long non-coding RNA is filed under the name Homo sapiens (human). RNAcentral's name for it is "HSALNT0296862". The record is from RNAcentral. Lineage: Eukaryota; Metazoa; Chordata; Mammalia; Primates; Hominidae.
GGGGGGGCCAACAGUGAACAGCAGGGGCUCCCUGAUAAUCAACCCUAAAACCUUGUCUGGAACAUGUUCAGCUUCUUCCUUGCCCACCCUCCUCCCACCCCGCCAGGUGCUGAGCUCACCCUUUGUGAUUCUUGGCCUUACAUUCUGCACCUCCCAGUGGCACUGGAACCUUGGAUGCCCCGGGGAGCUGCAGGGCCCCAGUGACCAGCUGGUGCUGAGGGUCAGAGACUGCGACUGUGCAGGCCAUGUCUGCAGGUGCUCCCCUGUGCAAGGCCUCCAGGGGUGGGGGUGUCCCUCAGACCUUCAGGGAAGUUGCUGAUAAAGAAUUUCCUUAGAGGGGGUAAGUCCCCCUCCCAGACCCAGCAAGGCCUUCUCUCUGUUUCCCCGGAAAAACCUCUUCCAUCCUUCCGAAGCUCCAGGCCUUGUGGGUGUGACAGCGUGCCUGGAUCCAGAGGCAGCAGGGGAAGGGGGAGACAUUUUGGUUCAAGGGGCCAUGGCAAAGGCACUGCCUGGCAGAUGGAGGAGGGAGCUUCCUGCUGCUGGAGUGGCCGUCCUGGCUGAAAGCCCUUCUCCUUCAGUGGUCAGCUAACUACUCCUCCAUGAAGCCAUCCCUGAUUCCUACUCCAGCCCCCAAGGAAGAGCUGCAGGAAACAGAAAAUGCACUGCCUAGAUGGACCCUCUGACUCCCCACCACCCAGGCUGGAGCGGCAGAGGCUGCCAGGAAGAGCCAGAAAACAGGUGAACCCAAGGCCACUCCCUCCCCAGCCUGAGGUCACUGACCAGCUAAUACAGGCCAAGGCUGCUGGGAGGCCAGGAAUAUGGCCAUGAGGAGCACAGCACGAUGUUCCCUCUAUCACGUGUGCAUAUUCUAGUGGAGGAAGACUGACAGUAAGUAGGUAAAUAUAUGUACAUCAGGUGGUGGCAAGGGCUAUGGAAAAAAUGAGCAAGAGAGGGGCAUAGAAAGUGGUAGGAUGGAAGGGAGAUAGGGUGGGCAGGGAGGGCCAGAUAGAAUGCAGUUUGAGCCACUUAGAUCUCUGAAGGAAGGAAGAACAUUCCAGGGAUAGGGACCAGGAGGACACAGGUGCCAGGACAGGAGCAUACUGGGCAUUUUCAAGGACAGGAUGGAACCCAAUGUGGCUGGUGUGGAGUGAGAGGUGGGGAAGGGAUAGGAGCGGGAAUGUGGAGGGAAGAUGGCCUGGGGUCCUGUGGGCAUUAGCCGGGCUCACAGGGGAGCUCUUGGAGGGUUAUGAGCGAGAAGUGAGCUGCUCCGUGCAUUCCAAGGAUCCCUCUAGGAGACCUGAGAUACCUCCUUGCCCUGUUCUGCAGCUGCGCUGGCUGCAAGGUACAGAUUUGGCCCUCAGCUAAAUUGCAAGGAAGACAGAGGAAGAGAGAGGAAGGUUCCAUUCUCCUGUUUCUUGCCCAUUUCUCCUCAUCAGUGGAACCCUGCCUGUGCAUGGUCUUCUUUAUUUGCACACAGCUCCCUGCCCUCCCCAAUACCUUACCAAUGAUUUACGCUUUAGUAAAAUCAAGGCUAUGCAUUCCAUGACCCCUUCUCCAAAGUGAUGAAUUAUGUCUCCAGAAAAGAUAUGUUGAAGUCCUAACCCCCAACUACUGCAGAAUAUGACCUUAUUUGGAAAUACGGUCAUUGUAGAUGAAUUAGUUAAGAUGAAAUCACGCUGGAGUAGGAUGGGCCCUUAAUCCCAUAUGAAUGAUGUCCUUUUAAGAAGAUAAUGUGGGCCGGGUGUGGUGGCUCAUGCCUGUAAUCCCAGCACUUUGGGAGGCGGGUGGAUCACCUGAGGUCAGGAGUUCAAGACCAGCCUGGCCAACAUGAUGAAACCCCAUUUCCACUAAAAAUACAAAAAUUAUCUGAGCGUGGUGAUGGGCACCUGUAAUCCCAGCUACUCAGGAGGCUGAGGCAAGAGAAUCACUUGAACCCAGGAGGCAGAGGUUGCAGUGAGCUGAGAUGGCGCCACUGCACUCCAGUCUGGGUGACAGAGUGAAAAUCCCUCUCAAAAAAAAAAAAAAAAAAAAAAGCUGAUGUGAGAUACAAGGGAGGAAGGCCAUGUGAAUAUGGAGGUGGAGGUGGGAUUAGGCAGCUGCAUGCCAAGAACAAGGCCAAGGAUUGCUGGAAACCACUGUGAGCUGGAAGAGGCAGGGAAGGACUCUUCCCCAGAGCCUCCCGAGGGAGCGUGGCCCUGCUGACUCCUGGAUUUCAGGCUUCUGGCCUCCAGAAUAAUGAGAAAAUGAAUUUCUGUUGCUUUAAGCCACCUGGUUUGUGGUACUUUGUUAUGGCAGCCUUGGAAACGAGUCCCAGGGAUGUUUCUUAGGGUCUGAUUUCUAAUCAUAAAAUUUGAGAUUUUAUCCCAUUCAAAGAAAUAUCCGAAGUCUUAUUAGCCUACUAGUCAGCCUUUACCUGAGGACAAAAGUGCUUUGUUUUGGGGGAAUCCUGGGGCUGUAUGGGAAUUCCAAAGGGCACAUUUGGCUCAAUGGCCUGGAUGUCUUACCUUUGGGAAGCAGGGAGCUGGGAGGAGCCUAGCUGGACCCCUGCCGCUCUGCUGGAUGGGUUUGGCUCAGGGUGUGGAUAUUGGUUAGGUGUGGAUACAAAGGCUUGGUCCUUGCUGUGGCAGAGAAGGUUGAUAAAGGGGCCUGGGGAAAAUUAAAUUAGAUGCUGAACUUUGCCUUUUAUUCAUUUGCCUGAAGAUUAAGCUGUCCACAGGUUAAUCUGCAGGUCCGUUCACAGGCCAGGGACACAAAAUGAUCAAGACAGAGUCCCCUUCAAACAAACACCACACAUGUAUGUUCACUGUGGCAUCAUUCACAAUAGCAGAAGGUGCAGACAACCCAAAUGUCCCUCAGUGGAUGAAUGGAGAAACAAAACAUGGCACACCCACACAAUGGAAUGCUCUUCAGCCAUAGAUGGAAUGAAGUACUGCCCCACGCUACAGCAUGGACCAACCUCGAAGACAUCAUGCUGCGUGAAAGAAGUCAGCCAGAAAAGGCCAUAUACUGUAUGAUUCCUUUCAUGUAAUAUACCCAGAAUAGGCAAAGCCACAGAGACAGAAGGCAGAGUGGUGAUUGUCAGGGCUUGGAGGAGGGAGAAAUGGGGAGUGGCUGCUUAAUGGGUAUGGGUUUCCUUUAGGGUGGUGAAAGUGUUCUGGAACUAGGUAGUGGUGAUGGUUGUCUAACACUGGGAAUGUGCUAAAUGUCACUGAAUUGUGCAAUUGAAAGUGGUAAAUUUUAUGUAAUUUUACUACAAUUUUAAAAAAACAACAGAGUGAGAGAAGACAAUCAACAGAGAAAUAGAUAUUUAACAUAUACACUAUGAAGACCAAGAAGAUGGGCUAAGGAGGCAGAGAGUGAUGACGAGGGUGCUGCUAUUAAUUAGAGCUCUGCAAACGGCCUCUCUCCUGUCCUCAAUUCCAGUGCUGCAGAGUCAUGAUUAAGCAGAUCUGUCACUAAGUGAGGAUUUUGUUGUGCUUUUUGAAUGCAGUGCCUAGGUAUGUUCAUUUAUUUUUCUUUCAAGUUUGUAUUGAACGACGUAUUAUAUCUCACAUGGUAUGUCUCCUGUGCCCCACUGCCUGGGGCUCCCUGUCCCUCUCCACUUGCUUUCUUUUUUCCCAUUGCACUUACUUAUCACUACCCAACACAUUGGACAUGCAUUUGGCAUGCUUGGUUUUAUGUGUCAAACUUGGCUAAGCUAUAAGAUCCAGUUAUUUUUUUUUAUUUUUUCAUUUUUAUUUUUGAGAUGGAGUCUCGCUUUGUGGCCCAGGCUAGUGUGCAGUGGCGCGAUAUCGGCUCACUGCAAGCUCUGCCUCCUGGGUUCACGCCAUUCUCCUGCCUCAGCCUCCUGAGUAGCUGGGACUACAGGCGCCCGCCACCAUGCUUGGCUAAUUUUUUUAUUUUUUAUUUUUUAGUAGAGACGGGGUUUCACUGUGUUAGCCAGGAUGGUCUCGAUCUCCUGACCUUGUGAUCUGCCCGCCUUUGCCUCCCAAAGUGCUGGAAUUACAGGUGGGAGCCACCGCGCCCAGGCAAGACCCAGUUAUUGAAGCAAACACUAACCUAGUGUUGCUGUGAAGGUAUUUUAUAGAUAUGGUAAACAAGAUCAGUUGUCUUUAAGUAAAGGAGAUUACCCUUGAUAUCUUGGUGGGCCUCAUCUAAUCAGUGGAGAGGUUUGAAGAGGAAAACCGACGUUUCCCUAUGCAAGAAGAAAUUCUGCCCCAAGACUGCAGCAUCAGUUCCUGCAUGAGUUUCCAGCCUGCUAGCCUGCUCCACAGAUCUCAGACUUGCCAGCCUCCACAACUGUAUGAGCCAAUUCCUGAAAUAAAUUCCUUUAUACAUAUAUGUAAUAUGUACACAUACACACAUCUAUGUCAUCUAGAUUUAGAGCUAAUCUAGCUCCUCCUGGCUCUGUUUGUCUGGAGAACCCCGACUGAUACUGAUGUGUUUAUUUGCUUAUCAUCCUCCCUACCCCAGACGGAGGCUCUCUAAGGGGAAGAUCUUUUGUCUGUUUCCUUCAUGCUGUGUCUGAAGUGACCAGGACAGCAGCCGGCAAUAGGACGUGCUCAGUCGAUAUUGUACAAUGGAUCUUCAUAAUUCUUGCUUAUUUGUGUGGUUGUUAUCUGUCUGAAAUUCAAGAAAGAAGGACAUGAGAAAAGAAAAGGAUGAAAGCACACUGGUCUUAUCUGAGGCUGGGGAUUUCCCCGUUGGGCCCAGUGUUGUGGAUUCUGCAGUUGAGUUGUGUCUGUUUGCAGCUGAAAGAAAGCUGUGGCAGUGAGGAGAACAAUGACUCUCUUGCUUCCAGAGCUGGUAGGUGACUGCGGUAUUACCAGGGGCGCACAAAGUGGGUGUUGCCCUUUGUUUCCCAAGUAAUUGUUUUAAAGCAAGGUGAGGAGGAGCCUGGGGAAGGGUAGAAUGAGAGAAAGCAUGAACCCUGAUUUGUGUUUGUUUGUUUAGGAACUAGAGGUUAGUGAAAAGCCUCUUGUUUCAGAAUGUGUCCCAAAUGGGUUUACAAUUAGUGACAGAGUCUGUAGGAGCUUAUGAAACAACCAAUUCCCCACACUGUUUGGCUCUCAGCAUCCACAGACCAUCUGGAUCAGCUGAGCAUGAAGUGUGGGGGCGUGCAUUGGGGGUGGGGUCCAGAAACAAAAAAGAUCAAGCUGGCAUCGGUUGGGGCGGGAGAGGGAUUUGGGUUUUCAGAUUUCCUUUCGCUUAAUUACAUUCGCAGGCUGUCCUGAUCCUCAUUCCCCUUCCCCAUUGUUUCUGCCCUGUCAGCGGGGUUGACUGGCUGAAAACAGACCACCCGGGCAGCCAGAAGAACUGUGCCUGUCCCGGCAGCCCUGACUCUGGACAGGUGGUGUGGGGUGGUGUGAGGUGGUUGGGGGACGGGAGAACAGGGAAGCAGGGCCAAGGACAGUAAUAUCCCUGGCCACUCUUCAUAUAUGUAGUCACCAAUGCUCAAAGUCCUCCAUGCCCCCACUUCCAUCCUGCAAAGGAGGAAGCUGAGCUGCCAAGGAGUGGCAGAGCUGAGAGCAGCACCAGCUCCGUCUCUCCCGAAGACCACCUUCUUUCUCCCAUGUCUGCCUGCAGGAUUUGAUGAUGAGACAUCGUCUGCUACAGGAUUUGCAGGGAAACAUGGAGUAUCACUUUGGGCCUAUUUUCUAAGAGAAUGGCCUGAAGAGAAUAGAUUCAAGUUUUCUCCCAGAAAAGCCUCUGCUUCAGGAGCAGGAACACUCUACUGGUAAGGGGAGAAAUGCCUCAAAUGAGCAUGUGCACAACUUCAGUAAACAUGCUGUGCAUGUGGCCCCUCCCAAGUGCCCGCAGGCCACCACACAAGUGGACAGCCCUGGACAGCCCGCCCCUAGGGAAGAAUCAAGGGAGGAGAAACAGAAGCCCUGGAACUGUGCUAGCAUAUAAAACCCCAAGUCAAGGGCUGAAUGGCACACUUGGAUCUCUCAAGUCACCUGCUUGGCCCCCUUCCAAGUGUAUUUACUUCCAUUUGUUCCUGCUCUAAAACUUUUUAAUAAACUUUCACUCCUGCUCUAAAACUUGCCUCGGUCUCUCCCUCUGCCUUAAAACUACUUCUGCCCCCGCAGCCGAAUUCUUUCCUCUGAGAGGGCAAGAAUCAAGUUGCUGCGCAC